Non-coding RNA from Arachis ipaensis, 3011 nucleotides. Lineage: Eukaryota; Viridiplantae; Streptophyta; Magnoliopsida; Fabales; Fabaceae. The record is from RefSeq and is a predicted model, not a curated record.
UUAGGGCAGUUUGUGUGACCGCCUUAAUUCAUCUCUUUUACAAUGGCGACUAUUGGUAAUUCCGGCGGUUUCAAACCGCCCUAUAAUCAUCAUACUAUUAAAAAGAAAAACUAAAUCCCAAAGUCUCAGAUCUAAAAUUCCAUCCAAACACGUGAAGUUCCAGGUUUGCUCUCGCAGAAACGCCAUUUUUGCUCCUUAGAGCUUCUCCUCCCCCGUCAAGAUUUUCUCCAGAUCUGUGAGCUUCUCCUCCUCCGUCAAGAUUUUCUCCAAAUCUGCGAGCUUCUCUUCCUUCUUCGACCUUUUGUUCUGCUAGCUUCUCCUCAUCCAUUAACGUGCAUUUUCCUCCACGAUCUGUUUCUCAGUUUGCGUUCUAACUUCUCACUUCUAGAUCUGUAACUAAAUUCACAUCCUCUGGUUCUAAUUACUUCAAUGAUUGUUAUAUGCUAAUUGUUCUAAUUACAUUCACUCUUAAUUAUUGUUUUUAGCAUUUCGCCUUUAAUGCGGCUUUGAUAAUUGGCUCGAUGCUCCUUAUCGCUUAUUUCUUCCUCGUAGUUUCAUGGAAGUUCUAUUUUGGUUCAUUUCUUGUAAUGUGUUGUUAUCAAAUUACCAAAUUUAGGGUUUUUCUUUUCUCAAUUUUGGUUUUGGUUCCAUCCAAUUUUGAUUUGGUCCACUUCCUGUAAUUUUUAAUUUUGUGAUUGUGCCACUGCUUUAAUUUUGGCUUUUAAUUUUUUAUUUUUUUUGCUCAUGCAGAAGUACAUAAAGCAGAACACUGACGUGACUCUCUGUGCACUCGAGAUGGGGAAGCAACCAUAUCAAGAAUCUGCAGGUAUAUAUAAUUAGGUGCUAUAUGGCUUAGCUUGUAUAUUGCAUGUUAAAAAGGUAAUUAAAAAGCUUUGAUAGUAGUUGUUAUUGUCUACUACUAAUAUACAUCAAAAGCUAAUUAAAAAGCAAUGAUGGUUGUGAAAGAUUUGGAGAAUAUAUUAUUAAGAUUUCAUUCCUACGAAAAUAUACUGAAGUAUCUGAUUUGUUUAAUAAAUUGAGUUUGCAAAUUUUAAGGCUGGAGUGGUUAGCCUUUUUGGUCUAUAUUCUCAGCAAAGGGAGCCAGAUUGAGCCAAAACCAGGUACUAAUUAUUAGUAUUUUAAGGUUUGUACUAUUUGUUGAUGGAAAUUGCGAGAGAAAGUUAGUAAAAUGGAUUAUUUAUUUUAUUAUUAAUGUUAGUUCUUUUUCUUUUGUUGUAUUGAUUGGUUAGGAAGAGUGGUGUUAGGGGAUCUUAAUCAAAGUAAAUAGGGCCUUUUGUUGCUGAGUGAAAGUUGGAAAAAGCAAAGAUUUUUUUUGUUAUUUUUUUUAAAACUAUUGGCCUUUUGUCAUGAAAACAAAAAUUCAAUCCAUAUUUGAAGAUCAUUUCAUUGUCUUGCAUGUUUCUUCUUAGCUAUUGUAUUUUGUCAGAAACUGAAAGUAUAGAUUAAUCCAUAGAAAAAAUUGUGUUCAUAUCUAGACACUUGCUUGGUUUAGAGCUUCUUUCUUCGAUUCUAUUUGAUCAGGAGUAAGCAUUGCAGAUUGUAUUUUGUUCAUAUUUAGAAUUUUGAAGACUUUACAGGAGAAUUCUUCCACUACCUUAAUCUCAUUGCAGACACAUUAAAUGGCUUGGAGGAUCGUGAUGCUAUUGCGAGAAUCGGGACAAGAUGCUUAUCAGCUGUCAGUGUGCAUGAUAAUACUCUGGAGAAUGUCGAGACGUUAGAUGAUGCACAGACUAAGUUUGAUGAUAUCCUUGAUUCUCCUUCUAUUGAUGUAGCUUGUGAGAAGAUCAAAAGCCUUGUGAAGUGUCCUCUUACUACAAUAAAUUGAAUGCAGAAUUUAGUAAACCAAAGCUAGGACUAUUCAGUUUACAAUUUGAAUGCAGAAUCUCAAAGACAGCUUUGAUUUUAGAUGAAGUGUACUCACUCUGCUGCAGCAAAAAACAUCUCUUCUUCCUUUUGAUUUUCCUUUUCUGCACUUGUACUUUUAUGUGGUCAGAUUAUAAAAUUUUCCUUUUCUGCACUUGUACUUUUAUGUGGUAGGAUCAUGGGAUUGGAUUCAUCACUCAUUCAUGGUGGACUUUAGUACCUUGCGGCCAGUUCUACUACUACUACUUUCUGCACUGUCAAAAAAUAUUAAAGAAUAAAAUUCCUAUCAUGCUCUGCAGCUUUGAGCAGUUUUGCAUUAGUUUCUUUGUAACUCAUUUUCAGCCUAUCUAUGGCUUACUCAUGAAGAGGUAAUAUUUUUGGCUUAGAUUAUGACACCCUACUGGUCUGAAACUAAUUUGAAACAAGCUAAUAUAUUAUGCAAAAUUGAAAGACCUAAGUACAAUGAAACUUCAGGGAAGCAGCAAGGAACUUUGAGUUCCUAUUGUGACAAUGGAAAAAGAAAUAAAACAAAAUCAGUCAGGGUGCCUCCAAAGGAAGGUUAACAUGCUAAAAAUCUUGCCACAGAGAGGAGAUGAAGAUGCAAACAGAAGUGAAUCAUAUAAGCAGAACAGAGUUCUUGCUUAAGGUAUGCUGGGAGCAGAAGCCAGGUGGGUUUUCAAGGUUCAUGGAAGCUAUAAAUUCAUUUUGAUUUCAGGUGAAAAAUGCCAAUAUGACCACAAUUGACGGAAAGGCUCAGAUCAUUCUAACAGUUGAGUGUUCUGUUUUUGGCAUAUUUCAUGUCUCUUUAUAAUCUCAUGAUUGCAUCAGUAAUGGAUUGAGGGCAUAUAAAAGGAAGGGUGGAAGACAAGCACAUUCAAGAUGUCUCAGCUCACAAAAUAUUAGUUAGUUAUACAAACCCGAAUGAUGAUAAUUAGGGUACUAUUGUGGGGUGUCGUGCCGCAAACCACCUGGGCAAUUUGUAUAUCUGAAUUUUUCUUCUGUAUUAAAUUUAUAUAUAUAUAUUUUUUAUUGGGAUGCUGUAAGCCAUUACAAUGUACUUCUGAUUGUAUUCUUGGCCUUGCUAAGAUAGUGGUUCAAUUCAAGUCACUCAAUCAUGCAUUAUCAUU